CAGGGGACUGUGUUUUCUCUUUCAGUUUCACUUUUGUACUUGCAGUACAGACUACUGCCACGCUAGCUGGCUAGGUUGCUCUCUGCCACCCACCAAUGCCAAGCUGACCACCUGUGCCAUCCGCUGGACAAACAUAGUUACUGCAUCUGGAGUAGAAAUCAGGAGAAGAAAAACUUUGGAUACCAUCAAAGUUGAUCAAGAUUCGACUGGAAAAGGAAAAACCUCUCGAUGAGGACAAAUGACAGGUAUUCUACUAAGGUAUAUCUUAUAAACUAAAUAGAAACCUCCCAAAGGAAAGGGAAGUGUUUUGCUUUUAUCUUUACAGGAAACCUCAUCUCCAGAAGGCAAAGGACACUGCAUGGGUAGAUACUUAAGAAGAAAAGGUAGCUAUAACCAUCAAGCAAAAGGGACGUGACAUAUGGUAAACUUUACAGCUGUCUCUCAGAGAACUCUAUUUCUCUUUCUUUCCUAGUCCCUCUUCAAUUAAAUCAAUGCUGGAUUUAGAGGUGGACUUGGCUUUCCUCCUCUAAAAUCGAAGCACAUUAUUUAACUAAACUUUAGAGUUUCUGUAUUGUAUCAAGAAGCCAAUGAUGUAAUACAGAAUAAAAGAAGAAUUUGGGGACUUUCUCUGUCUUUUCUUGGAUCUUUCCCUCAAGGUGUACACCCUCUCAUAAUUGUUAUAGUCUCAUGAUUGUACUCCCCAGCACAUGUACAUCCACAAGCAAACAUUUCUCUGCUAACUGUUAAUGUUUGAGUCCCACACAGCCAAUGAAGACCUGCCUGACAGCAUUCCCUGGACACCCUCUAAAGAAAAU
RNAcentral lists this long non-coding RNA (815 nucleotides) under Cricetulus griseus (Chinese hamster). RNAcentral's name for it is "lncRNA (ENSCGRG00015039547.1)". The record is from RNAcentral. Lineage: Eukaryota; Metazoa; Chordata; Mammalia; Rodentia; Cricetidae.